Molecule: ribosomal RNA, 475 nt
Filed under: uncultured eukaryote
Lineage: Eukaryota
Description: SSU rRNA
Rfam family: Eukaryotic small subunit ribosomal RNA
Source: RNAcentral
GGGGGGUUAAAAAGGUCGUAGUUGGAUUUUGGUUAAGAGGGCGCGGUCGGCCGUUUGGUCUGUUUUGCGUUGUCUUGACUUCCUGAUGAGGACAUGCUCUUGGUUAACGCUGAGACAUGGAGUCAUCGUGGUUACUUUGAAAAAAUUAGAGUGUUCAAAGCGGGCUUACGCUUGAAUAUAUUAGCAUGGAAUAACACUAUAGGACUCCUGUCCUAUCUCGUUGGUCUCGGGAUGGGAGUAAUGAUUAAGAGGAACAGUUGGGGGCAUUCGUAUUUCAUUGUCAGAGGUGAAAUUCUUGGAUUUAUGAAAGACGAACUUCUGCGAAAGCAUUUGCCAAGGAUGUUUUCAUUAAUCAAGAACGAAAGUUGGGGGCUCGAAGAUGAUUAGAUACCAUCCUAGUCUCAACCAUAAACGAUGCCGACUAGGGAUUGGUGGAUGUCAAUUGAUGACUUCACCAGCACCUUAUGAGAAAUCA